GAGACGAACCGACCAUCAUCUUUCCCUCGUGCUUGGAUUGAAGGGAGCUCCUCUCUCUCUCUCUCUCUUAUUUCCAUAAUUUAUAUAUUGUUUGUAGAUAGUUUAUCUUUCUUUCUAUCUCUUGUUUGCAGAGAUAUACAUGGAGAUGCCAAGCGCAUGGAAGUUUGACAACGGAUAAUUCAGUAUAACUGUGUGUAUAUAUCCGGAUUAUUCAAGACAAGAUUGCGGAUCUGAUGUAUCUUUUAUCGUUUCAAAAAUUUGGACAUAUGUAUAUAUAUAUAUAACCUAUUCCCCUUUUAGACAAGUCUUUGUAAUUUCUUUUUCUUUGGACAUUUUGAUAGCUUUCCUCAAACAUUUUUGCUUGAAGCAACUUACUGAACCAUGCACGAUUUAAUAUAAUUGCAUAAAGCAUUUUGA
Molecule: non-coding RNA, 417 nt
Filed under: Zea mays
Lineage: Eukaryota; Viridiplantae; Streptophyta; Magnoliopsida; Poales; Poaceae
Source: RNAcentral